This 484-nucleotide ribosomal RNA is filed under the name uncultured bacterium. RNAcentral describes it as "partial 16S ribosomal RNA". It matches the Rfam family "Bacterial small subunit ribosomal RNA", at positions 29 to 507 of the family's 1533-position model. The record is from RNAcentral.
AUUGAACGCUGGCGGCAUGCUUUACACAUGCAAGUCGAACGGCAGCGCGGGCUUCGGCCUGGCGGCGAGUAGCGAACGGGUGAGUAAUACAUCGGAACGUGCCCAGUAGUGGGGGAUAGCUCGGCGAAAGCCGGAUUAAUACCGCAUACGACCUGAGGGUGAAAGCGGGGGAUCUUCGGACCUCGCGCUAUUGGAGCGGCCGAUGGCAGAUUAGCUAGUUGGUGGGGUAAAGGCCUACCAAGGCGACGAUCUGUAGCUGGCCUGAGAGGACGACCAGCCACACUGGGAAUGAGACACGGCCCAGACCCCUACGGGAGGCAGCAGUGGGGAAUUUUGGACAAUGGGCGAAAGCCUGAUCCAGCAAUGCCGCGUGUGUGAUGAAGGCCUUCGGGUUGUAAAGCACUUUUGGCGGGAACGAAAAGGACUGUGCCAAUACCACGGUUCGAUGACGGUACCCGCAGAAUAAGCACCGGCUAACUACGUG